RNAcentral lists this ribosomal RNA (293 nucleotides) under uncultured bacterium. RNAcentral's name for it is "partial 16S ribosomal RNA". It matches the Rfam family "Archaeal small subunit ribosomal RNA", at positions 455 to 747 of the family's 1478-position model. The record is from RNAcentral.
GUGCCAGCCGCCGCGGUAAUACCGGCAGCUCGAGUGAUGGCCAAUCUUAUUGGGCCUAAAGCGUCCGUAGCUGGCCGCGCAAGUCCGUCGGGAAAUCCAACAGCCCAACGGGUGGGCGUCCGGUAGAAACUGGCCGGCUUGGAACCGGAAGGCUCAGAGGGUACGUCCGGGGUAGGAGUGAAAUCCUAUAAUCCCGCACGGACCACCGAUGGCGAAAGCACUUCGAGAAAACGGAUCCGACAGUGAGGGACGAAAGCCAGGGUCUCCAACCGGAUUAGAAACCCGUGUAGUCC